RNAcentral lists this ribosomal RNA (451 nucleotides) under uncultured bacterium. RNAcentral describes it as "bacterial SSU rRNA". It matches the Rfam family "Bacterial small subunit ribosomal RNA", at positions 29 to 524 of the family's 1533-position model. The record is from RNAcentral.
AACGAACGCUGGCGGCAUGCCUAACACAUGCAAGUCGAACGAGACCUUCGGUCUAGUGGCGCACGGGUGCGUAACGCGUGGGAAUCUGCCCUUGGGUUCGGAAUAACAGUUAGAAAUGACUGCUAAUACCGGAUAAUGUCUUCGGACCAAAGAUUUAUCGCCCAGGGAUGAGCCCGCGUAGGAUUAGCUAGUUGGUGAGGUAAAGGCUCACCAAGGCGACGAUCCUUAGCUGGUCUGAGAGGAUGAUCAGCCACACUGGGACUGAGACACGGCCCAGACUCCUACGGGAGGCAGCAGUGGGGAAUAUUGGACAAUGGGCGGAAAGGACCUGAUCCAGCAAUGCCGCGUGAGUGAUGAAGGCCUUAGGGUUGUAAAGCUCUUUACCCGGGAUGAUAAUGACAGUACCGGGAGAAUAAGCCCCGGCUAACUCCGUGCCAGCAGCCGCGGUAAU